GCUAGCUCAAAUUCAUUGUUUAUUAUUAUUAUUAUUAUUAUUAUUAUUAUUAUUAUUAUUAUCCUUCAAACAAUAAUCUUUAGGUAGAUCCUUAUGGAAGCUUCUCUAGUUCACACAUAUCCUGACACCUCUAUGAUUGAUCCCUUCAACGGGACAUUAUUCAAGUGAUGACAUGAAAGGGUUUUAUUGACAAUUGAUGUAGUGAACUUGGG
RNAcentral lists this long non-coding RNA (212 nucleotides) under Vitis vinifera (wine grape). Its description in RNAcentral is "long non-coding RNA (VVIN_LNC004683)". The record is from RNAcentral. Lineage: Eukaryota; Viridiplantae; Streptophyta; Magnoliopsida; Vitales; Vitaceae.